AGUAAGUCUUAGGACUCCCACGAGGUAGACUAACGCUGUCACAAACUUUGUCAAGGACAGUGAGCAAAGGAAGGGACGAUUGGGUCUGUCAGUGCUCGGUGUACUAUCACUGGAAGAUAAUCAUUCUGAUCCUUUCUGGCGCUUGUCUGUGACUCCUCCUCCUGUCUAAACCCCCAUAUGGUAGGGCAAAACAAAAGCAGAAACAAAAACGCAAAAUCCCUGCAGAGGGCACUGGGCAAGAAGCCCUCCUUCCUCUUGCAGAUAAAGGACCAUCUGAAAGGAUUGCUUGGGCGCCAUCUGCUGGCUAAAUGCUUGUACUGCCUUGCGGCUCCUCCACUGUGCCCCAGCCUGGGCAGGGCCACCCAGAGCGUUCAGCAAUCCUUAACCCAAGAGGCAGCGCUGUGGCUUCUACCUGGCAGGUGUUCAACCCACAGUGGCAUAAAUUACUCCCUCCUAUGAAUUGUCUUCACAUGAAUGUGGUACCGAUGAGAGCUGGAGACGCUAGGAACCCCACACAAUCAGGCUAGUGUCUUCUUAGAGCCAACCCUUGUUCCCACCGAUGGACUCUUCUGUCCUUGACAGCUUGCUGUGUAACCUGGUGGCCAGCCCGGCGCCCCACGGGAAAUGCUCCAUGCGCGCUUGUGGUUGGGAUAACAGACCCUAUGUGGGGUGAGGCUGUCCGGACAGGCAUGGUGGAAUUGAACAGACACAACCCGGCCAGUACAGAAACAGAAUCAGAUAAGAAUCUGACCUUUAUUCUUUUUGUUUUCUUCAUGCCAAUGACUGCAAUCCAAGUUGUGCUUUUCUUAAACCCUUCCUCUCUAAAUUGCAAGCCCCAGAUGGCAGAGAUCAUGUCUGUCUACUUCCCAUGCUGUGUCCAUUCAUGAAAUCAUUUUUGAAUGAAAUGGUAGACUAAUAAAUAAAGCUCUACUCGGCUUGUCUUCUGGUGAUGACUGGCUGCCCUGAGCUACUCGUGCUAUCCCUGAGAACACCAUGAUUCUGCUCAUGGACACCGUCACCACCCCUGCCAUCUAGAUUCUGUAGAGCUGCCUCUCUGUGCACCCACCUCCUGUCUAGUUACCAUCAGAGUUACUGAUCUCUUACAUGCAAACAUCAGGUCUUUCCUCUCCCUUUGUCCCCUGCAAAAAUCCCACUUGCUCCCAUGGAGGGUCCGGAGUAUUUUAGGAAAUGUCUGGGCCCCUCGCCAUCAGGAUGGAGCGAGCACACCUGUGCCCAGUCAUGUGCGUGACUUCUUUUGGCCAGGGUUAUGGGAGUAAAUGGGAUAUGAGCAGAGGCUUGAAGCAUGCUCCUGGCUGUGGUAUGGCCUCAUGAGCUCUGGGACUCACACUGAGAAGAGGACACCUUCCUUCUGCCUUUCUGCUUAGGCCUGCAGUUUGUAGUUCAACCCAGGCCAGCACAUACCAGGUAUGAUCAAACUAUAUGCUUUCUUUUUUAGUGCAUUAUAGUGAAAGACUAAUAUCACCACUAAUCUCCCUUAAAACAUUUCUCAUUUCUUCAAAUUCACUUAUCCCAUCAUUCUUACCACUUCUUGAAGCUGUUCUAAAAGACCCUCUUUUGCCUUUUUAGAAAAGGUGAUCAAAAAUAACAAUGAACACCGUGGCUGAGAGUCUUCCAACAGAAACACAGGCUCCUGAAAGCAGCACAGUGGGUCCUCAUCUGCCUGAUUCAUCACAUCUAGUAUAUUGCAACUUCUGGCUCUUCCCCAAAAUCAAACUUUCCAUAAAAGAGCCUUGUAUGAUUGAAACCCUGCCAGCCACUCCAGCUUCCUCAUGUGCCUCUUCCUCAGCCAUGUGUACAGAUAAGAGUAACCAUGUACAUGACCCCAAAACAAGAGAAAAAUCAACAGUAAUUGUUACAUAUAUUAAAGGUCAAUGUGAAAUGUAA
Molecule: long non-coding RNA, 1905 nt
Organism: Cavia porcellus (domestic guinea pig)
Lineage: Eukaryota; Metazoa; Chordata; Mammalia; Rodentia; Caviidae
Exons: 2
Source: RefSeq, a predicted model, not a curated record